RNAcentral lists this ribosomal RNA (253 nucleotides) under uncultured bacterium. Its description in RNAcentral is "partial 16S ribosomal RNA". It matches the Rfam family "Bacterial small subunit ribosomal RNA", at positions 524 to 776 of the family's 1533-position model. The record is from RNAcentral.
UACGGAGGGUGCAAGCGUUAUCCGGAUUCACUGGGUUUAAAGGGUGCGUAGGUGGGUUUGUAAGUCAGUGGUGAAAUCUCCAGGCUUAACCUGGAAACUGCCAUUGAUACUAUAGGUCUUGAAUUUUCUGGAGGUAAGCGGAAUAUGUCAUGUAGCGGUGAAAUGCUUAGAUAUGACAUAGAACACCAAUUGCGAAGGCAGCUUGCUACAGGAAUAUUGACACUGAGGCACGAAAGCGUGGGGAUCAAACAGG